This is a long non-coding RNA of Micropterus dolomieu (smallmouth bass), 799 nucleotides long. RefSeq lists it as uncharacterized. The transcript has 3 exons. The record is from RefSeq and is a predicted model, not a curated record. Lineage: Eukaryota; Metazoa; Chordata; Actinopteri; Centrarchiformes; Centrarchidae.
AGAAUGUCAGUGUGUACAGGGCUUCACUUACCAUUUUGCUCUUUUUCCUAUUAGAGCAUCCUAUCUUUCCCUCUAAUUCCCCAAUAGCACCAGUAUCUCUGCGUCAGUGGCCACUUGGAGUUCAUCCAGCCCUUCUCCUCCUCUCUUCCCUACAUCUCUUGCUGCUGUCCUCCCUUUGAUCUGUGUUUCACAAAGGCACCUGGAAUGGCUUGUGGUGGCCUGGCAUCGCUAAAGAGGCCCUCAGCUACACCACCAAACACUGCUGAGGGUGCAGGGAAUGGAGACAAACCUGGAAACCUCUCAUCCAACAGGGCAGAGAAGCAUCUUGAGGACCUCUGGUCUGGUUGCCAGUUCCUCUACCAUUUAUCGUGCAGUAUAUAUUUUUACUUGGAAGGGGGGCCCUGUUGGUGAAUGAUGAUGGGAAGAUGAUGGAUGAUUUGAGAGUGAGGGUGUGCGGAAUUCAAGGUCAGAUGAUACUGACUGGAGUGCUAAAGCUGAGCUCCAUGCCAGUGACGUGCUCGCCACUCUCCACCUGGGCCAGCUUCUGGAUGUAGGAAUAUAGGCUCCGUGCAGCCACUUCAGUGUUGCCGCAGGCCACAGCCUCCAGCAGUGCAUCGUGAAUAAAGCUGUACUGGUCCUCCGUCUGCACCAUGUAAUUCCGCUGUGAACGCAUCAGCGUCACAUGGCCGUAAAUGUCGACAGUCUUCUCGUGCUUGAUACGCUCAAGCAUGGCGUCGAUGACAAUGAAGCAACCUGUCCGACCGACACCCGCACUAAAGGACGAGGGAAAGGAAUGAGA